RNAcentral lists this ribosomal RNA (260 nucleotides) under uncultured soil bacterium. Its description in RNAcentral is "partial 16S ribosomal RNA". It matches the Rfam family "Bacterial small subunit ribosomal RNA", at positions 26 to 284 of the family's 1533-position model. The record is from RNAcentral.
AGGAUGAACGCUGGCGGCGUGCUUAACACAUGCAAGUCGAACGAUGAAGGAGGAGCUUGCUCCUCCAGAUUAGUGGCGAACGGGUGAGUAAUACAUGAGCAAUGUGCCCUUGACUCUGGGAUAAGCGCUGGAAACGGCGUCUAAUACCGGAUACGACCCUCGGAGGCAUCUCCUGAGGGUGGAAAGAACUUCGGUCAAGGAUCAGCUCAUGUCCUAUCAGUUAGUUGGUGAGGUAAUGGCUCACCAAGACGACGACGGGU